RNAcentral lists this long non-coding RNA (883 nucleotides) under Panax ginseng (ginseng). RNAcentral describes it as "long non-coding RNA (PGIN_LNC010732)". The record is from RNAcentral. Lineage: Eukaryota; Viridiplantae; Streptophyta; Magnoliopsida; Apiales; Araliaceae.
UAUUGAUGUGUUGGAGUAGUUGAUGUCUCAUUAGUAUAUGCAGUUCUUGAUUUAAACUUCAAUUUUCUGCUUUAAGCAAUAAAGCAUGUAGUAUCUUCAUCUUUGUCCAUCUUAUCAGUGAACACAUCACACACACACAUCAUCUUUAUAGCAGGUUAGGACUAUCUGAUUGUAUGUCAUUAUGCCUUUAGCUUAGUUUGAUGCUUUUGUUCUUGGAUCUUGAUAUUUCUAAGAGGCAUAUCUUAUUAGAAUUCAUAACAUAGCUGGAAAUCUGGGGAUUCAUUGUCAUAGUAGCGUAGCUUGCAUAUCAUGUAGAUUGCAUUAUAUUGUGUUGCUUGCGGACAAGCAACACUUUAAGUUUGGGGGUAUUUGAUAAGUGGAUUUUAUAUACACUUAUCCGGUAUCUUUUACUUGAAUUAGUUGCUUAUAUUUAUGUGUCUUAGUUACUUUUCAUGCAUUUUGUGUUCAUUUUGUAGGUUAUACGUUUUGGAGCGGUGUGAGCGACUAUUGGUAAGGAAAAACAAGGAAAAUGCAAAGAAAAUCUAUACGGACAUCAUUUGGGCUUUCAUGUUUACUUCAUGUUCUUGGUUUAGAACUUAGCUUACAUUUUAGAGCGUCUUCGUAGCUUUCCGGAACAUCUUGAAUCGUUCUAAUCGGAGUUCAGAUGCAAGAGUUAUGAUCUUUGUACCAACGGACGUCAAACUUUGCUGUUUUAGAUGACCAUUUGCAUAGCGGUCACUUACAAUCUCAUUUCAGCCUUCAUCCGUGCACUAUUUCUCAGUACUCAAAGAAUUAAAGUUGUAGAGCUCGUUGAUAUCUUCGAUUUGAUAGGUGGAAGGCCCCGUAACUCUUCCCGGAUCAAACGUUAUGAGCAUUUUACCAG